RNAcentral lists this long non-coding RNA (1042 nucleotides) under Homo sapiens (human). RNAcentral's name for it is "non-protein coding lnc-TMTC3-21:1". Lineage: Eukaryota; Metazoa; Chordata; Mammalia; Primates; Hominidae. The record is from RNAcentral.
GCUAAAGUUACCUACAGUGACAAUGAAGUUGAUCAGCACUCUCAAUGACCCACUGAGAUUUUGGUGGAUAAAGUUGCUUCUUCUUUUUCGAUUUGACCCAUCACAGUAUACAGGACUCAUGGGGCUUAGCUGGAGGAAAAUUAUUAGUGACCGCUAUUAUCUGAUUGGCCUUUGAUUUUCUUUGCCCUCAGGAUGAAUUCUUUUCCUGUAGACUUAUCACCUUUCAAAUAAAUAAUAGCCUAGAAUUCCUGUCCUACAAGUUCUUCAAGUAUGUCCAGACAUAAAUAUUUGCCAAAUAUAUUAAGAAAUAUCUAGCAAACUUGGGAGGACUACUUAUAUUCAGCACAGAACAAUUGAAAAGGAGAAACUAACUGACUCUGUAAUACCAAUAAAGUAAGUUUGUGUCAUUAGACUCCAAAAUUAUAAUGGUCUUUAUCUAAUCUCCAAAAUUCUUAUUGACAUUGUUUCCUUUAUUCUUAACAUUCCUAAUGUCUCUGGAUCACUUUUCAUUUCUGUUGAUUCGAAUAUUUAUUUAUUCAAAAUCAUCUUGGGUGUUAUAGCUCUAGAUUUGGUGGAAUAAAUUUCUGUAAUAAUUUUUAGCAAUAUGAAGCAUUCCUUGAAAUCCAGUGUUUCUAUGGAACCUCUUAAGUGAAUACAGUGGGGAACAUAUUUUUGAAGAUUAAUUGUAAGAGAUGUCACAAUUGUUAGUACUCUUGUUUAGAAGUUACAGAGUCCUGGCUGGGUGCAGUGGCUCAUGCAUGUAUUCCCAGCACUUUGGGAGGCUGAGGCAGGUGGAUUGCUUGAGCCCAGGCAUUCACUACCAGCCUAAGCAACAUGGUGAAACCCCAUCUUGACCAAAAAAAAAAAUGCAAAAAUUAGCCAGGCAUGGUGACAUGCACCUGUAGUCCCAACUACUUGGGAGGCUGAGGUGUGAGGAUCACCUGAGCCCAGGGAGGUUGAGGCUGUAGUGAGCUGUGAUUGUGCCACUGCGUUACAGCCUGGGUGGCAGAGUAGGGCCCUGUCUCAAAACAAACAAACAAAC